CCUACGGGGGGCAGCAGUAGGGAAUAUUGCUCAAUGGGGGAAACCCUGAAGCAGCAACGCCGCGUGGAGGAUGAAGGUUUUCGGAUUGUAAACUCCUUUUUUUAGAGAAGAUAAUGACGGUCUCUAACGAAUAAGCACCUGCUAACUCCGUACGAGCAGCCUCGGUAAUCCGGAGGGUGCAAGCGUGACUCGGAAUUACUGGGCGUAACGAGCGCGUAGGCGGGAUAGCAAGUCAGAUGUGAAAUCCUAUGGCUUAACCAUAGAACUGCAUUUGAAACUGUUAUUCUAGAGUAUGGGAGAGGUAGGUGGAAUGCUUGGUGUAGGGGUAAAAUCCGUAGAGAUCAAGAGGAAUACUCAUUGCGAAGGCGACCUGCUAGAACAUAACUGACGCUGAUGCGCGAAAGCGUGGGGAGCAAACAGGAUUAGAUACCCCAGUAGUC
This 440-nucleotide ribosomal RNA is filed under the name uncultured bacterium. Its description in RNAcentral is "partial 16S ribosomal RNA". It matches the Rfam family "Bacterial small subunit ribosomal RNA", at positions 338 to 795 of the family's 1533-position model. The record is from RNAcentral.